RNAcentral lists this long non-coding RNA (503 nucleotides) under Trifolium pratense (red clover). Its description in RNAcentral is "long non-coding RNA (TPRA_LNC007501)". Lineage: Eukaryota; Viridiplantae; Streptophyta; Magnoliopsida; Fabales; Fabaceae. The record is from RNAcentral.
AUCUAGGAUGUUAAUAGCGGUGCUAUAGCGCGCUAUAGCGCUAUAGCGUAGCGUUUUACCACCUCUCUGCUAUGCUAUAAGACUGCUUUCCGCUAUUUAGAGAAGCGGAAAUAGCGGCCGCUAUUUGCAGGAAAAUAGCGUUUUGUUAGCGGUGGCGUAGCGUUUUGGUAGCGCUAUUUGGCCGCUUUAGCGUUUUGGAGGAAAAAAAAUUGAUGAAAAUCUUUAUUUUGGAAAUAAAUCAUAAGUGAGGGGUAUUUUGCACUUUUCUACACAUCAAAAAGCUACCAACACAUCACAACACGUGAUUUACUUUUCUAUUUGAGUUGUUUCUUCUUUCUUUUCUCACAUCACGCUCUUCUCCUCUGCUCCUUCAACGGACUCCUUCACCAAAUCACCUCUUCUCCUUCAACAUCUCCUUCACCAAAUCGACUCCUCUAUUUCCUUUCUCCAAAUCAACUGCUCUUCUCCUCUUCUUACAAGGUUUGUUCCUUUCUCAAACCUUA